This 302-nucleotide ribosomal RNA is filed under the name uncultured bacterium. RNAcentral describes it as "partial 16S ribosomal RNA". It matches the Rfam family "Bacterial small subunit ribosomal RNA", at positions 508 to 807 of the family's 1533-position model. The record is from RNAcentral.
GCAGCAGCCGCGGGAAUACGUAGGGUGCAAGCGUUAAUCGGAAUUACUGGGCGUAAAGCGUGCGCAGGCGGUUUGUUAAGACAGAUGUGAAAUCCCCGGGCUCAACCUGGGAACUGCAUUUGUGACUGGCAAGCUAGAGUGUGGCAGAGGGGGGUGGAAUUCCGCGUGUAGCAGUGAAAUGCGUAGAUAUGCGGAGGAACACCGAUGGCGAAGGCAGCCCCCUGGGCCAACACUGACGCUCAUGCACGAAAGCGUGGGGAGCAAACAGGAUUAGAUACCCCGGUAGUCCCUGUCUCUUAUAC